UUUUUGUCAUUAUUAUGACUCCACUAGUGUCCAUUAGGGCAGUAAUGUGUAAUUGCUCUGUUGCUCCCCUCAAUUUUGCAAAAAUUACGCGUCAGAUGCGCUAACUUUUAUUUUCUAUGGAGGGGUCGCUGCACGAAGAGGAUCAGAAUGCAGUAUAGGAAGGGACUUUGUUUCUGUUGAGGGGUCAGUGCUCAUCACGUGGAGGAGAUUGGGAUGAUUGCAACCCAGAAACGUGCAGAAUGUGUAUACAUAUACUUAUUGAGGUCAUCGCAAUUCACAAAUUGAGAGCGGGAAAAAACAACGCAAUCCAUUGUCUUCUUCAUUACUCUUCCUUGUAUAUUUUUCAAUCAUUUUAUAACAAGGUUGUCGUCAAUUGCUUUUGUGAGUUCCUUGUUAAAAGCCUGGCAACUUUCUUUUCUUAAGGUAUUUCGACAAA
Long non-coding RNA from Neltuma alba, 436 nucleotides. RefSeq lists it as uncharacterized. NCBI's taxonomy places the organism in Eukaryota, Viridiplantae, Streptophyta, Magnoliopsida, Fabales, Fabaceae. The transcript has 2 exons. The record is from RefSeq and is a predicted model, not a curated record.